CUUAUAAAUCAUGAAUAAAUAUAAAAUACACAGACCGAAACUUGAGAUUUCUCAGAGAGCUUAAUUAAGGGAUUGAUUUUAUUAUUUACACUGAAUUAGAAACACAACCAUUUCUUCCCUUCAACUAUAACCAGAGAGCAUAUUUUACAGAGGAAAUUUGAGCUGAACAUCCCAGAAGAUCAACUAGCAGCAUAUGGAGAUAAGCCUGGACAGGAGCUCUAGGCUUUACUCCACAUUCACACUCUCCAGAGAGUGGUCUAACCUCGUUUGAGAUGAUUUUUGGUUUCUCCUGGAUCUCUGGAUACAAUCAGUAAAGAAGGGUCAGCAGAAUAAAAGGACAGUGAGCUAGGGCCUAAAGACCCUAAGCAAAGAAAAAGACAUUGGAGGUGGGAGAUGCACUGGAUGGAAAAGCUGCUCAAGAUGGACGGCACUUCAGAAAGGGAAGGAGGCAAUUCCCAACAAAAAUGCUAACUGCCUGGGCCCAGGAAGCCAUGUUUAAGUCCUAAGUGUGUUUAGACCAGAGAGCCUCCAUGUCUUUUGUUUCACUUGUGUCCAUAGUCUUUUUUUUCAGUUUUCCAAGAAAUGCUACUUGAAACUAUAAAAAUAAUUCAAAUAUUUUAAGCUAAAUAUAUUCUCCUUGCUUUAGUUUCUCUUUUUUCUUAAUUUUUUGUGCCUGGAAGAAUAUAAUUAGUUCAACAUGGUUGCUUAGAGAGACAUUUUCCAGGUCCAAGAAGGCAUACUAUUAGACAUUUAUUCAAAAAUGGGCUCAGGGAAUAAGAAUCUCAAGUAAAUAAUUCAUUAUAUUUGAAAUAAAUGCAAC
Molecule: long non-coding RNA, 820 nt
Filed under: Heterocephalus glaber (naked mole-rat)
Lineage: Eukaryota; Metazoa; Chordata; Mammalia; Rodentia; Bathyergidae
Description: lncRNA (ENSHGLG00000034365.1)
Source: RNAcentral